ACGGAAGGCAGCAGUGAGGAAUAUUGGUCAAUGGGCGGAAGCCUGAACCAGCCAUGUCGCGUGCAGGACUACGGCCCUACGGGUCUUAAACUGCUUUUGCAAGGGGAUAAAGUGGGGCACGCGUGCCCCUUUGCAGGUACCUUGCGAAUAAGGAUCGGCUAACUCCGUGCCAGCAGCCGCGGUAAUACGGAGGAUCCGAGCGUUAUCCGGAUUUAUUGGGUUUAAAGGGUGCGUAGGCGGGCUGUUAAGUCAGCGGUGAAACCCCCGGGCUCAACCCGGGGACUGCCAUUGAAACUGGCGGCCUUGAGUACGUUGGGAGUGCGCGGAAUGUGUGGUGUAGCGGUGAAAUGCAUAGAUAUUAGGAGGAACACCAGUGGCGAAGGCGGCUUGCUGGACGACAACUGACGCUGAGGCGCGAAAGCGUGGGGAGCAAACAGGAUUAGAUACCCUGGUA
Molecule: ribosomal RNA, 454 nt
Filed under: uncultured Mangroviflexus sp.
Lineage: Bacteria; Pseudomonadati; Bacteroidota; Bacteroidia; Marinilabiliales; Marinilabiliaceae
Description: partial 16S ribosomal RNA
Rfam family: Bacterial small subunit ribosomal RNA
Source: RNAcentral